This 302-nucleotide ribosomal RNA is filed under the name uncultured bacterium. RNAcentral's name for it is "bacterial SSU rRNA". It matches the Rfam family "Bacterial small subunit ribosomal RNA", at positions 32 to 320 of the family's 1533-position model. The record is from RNAcentral.
AAUCAACGCUGGCGGCGUGCCUCAGACAUGCAAGUCGAACGAUUAAAGCUCUCUUCGGAGAGUGUAUAGAGUGGCGCACGGGGUGAGUAACACGUAAGUAAUCUACCUUCGAGUGGGGAAUAACGUCCGGAAACGGACGCUAAUACCGCAUAAUGCAGCGGCAUCGCAAGAUGACAGUUGUUAAAGGAAUUUAUUUCGCUUGAAGAGGAGCUUGCGGCAGUANAGUCUAGUUGGUAAGGUAAUGGCUUACCAAGGCUACGAUCUGUAACCGGUCUAAGAGGACGGCCGGUCACACUGACACU